This 852-nucleotide long non-coding RNA is filed under the name Lynx pardinus (Iberian lynx). Lineage: Eukaryota; Metazoa; Chordata; Mammalia; Carnivora; Felidae. The record is from RNAcentral.
AAAAUGGAUUAAUCAGCUGACUCCAGAAUGCAUUUUAGAUAUCACAGGGCAAUGCCAGAGACCUUGCAGAGUCUGGCCUCGAAAGCUGCCUCUUUAACUCUACGGGAAGGAGUCGUGUCGCGUACGCUCAUUGCUUUGCCUCCUCUCCUCUCUGUCCAUCGGUCCUUCUCAGCCAUUCCUCAUCCAGGUGCUUGUUAACCAGGCAUUCAGGGAGCACCUGCUCAGGCCCAUGGUCCUGGCUCGGGGCCGUGAGCAGGGGCUUUGCAAUCGCGCAGGACACGGGUUUGAUUCCAGGCACUGCCACGUCCGUGCACUGUAACCCUCAGGCAAGUUACUUAACCUCUCUGAGCCUGUUCCCUCCUGCGUGGGCCAGGACUACAAGAUCCCCGCCUCCCAGGAGGAUCUGGAGAACAAAACAGGGUGGGGUUUGCAAAGCUCUGAUACCCAGGGGCAGGUAGCCCCCUGCCUUCUAGCAGCUUCUUUGCACUACCGGCCCAGAUGGCAUUGCCCGGCCAGCCGCAGACCAUUCGUUCCCAGCCUGUGCCCCUUUGCUCAGGCCUCUGAGUUCCAGGCUCGUGGCGGUCAAUUGAGGGAUUGGAAGGUUCCUGAGAAAUUUCUAGCCUCCCUCUUUCAUUCCCUGUUUGAACCCCUCAAUGAGGUCUAUGGGGGCGAUCAGCCUUGGCUUAAAGGCCAUCAGAAAUUGGUGGGGGCGCCCGUUUGAGCGUCUGACUCUCGGUUUCGGCUCAGGUCAUGAUUUGAGGGUCGUGGAUUCAUGCAUUGGGCCCCAUGCUGAGCACAGAGCCUGCUUAAGAUUCUCUCCCUCCUGCCCCUCCCCUGCUUGCUCUCUCUCAA